RNAcentral lists this ribosomal RNA (460 nucleotides) under uncultured Pseudomonadota bacterium. RNAcentral describes it as "bacterial SSU rRNA". It matches the Rfam family "Bacterial small subunit ribosomal RNA", at positions 355 to 809 of the family's 1533-position model. The record is from RNAcentral. Lineage: Bacteria; Pseudomonadati; Pseudomonadota.
UGGGGAAUCUUGCGCAAUGGGCGAAAGCCUGACGCAGCGACGCCGCGUGGGUGAUGAAGGCCUUCGGGUUGUAAGCCCUGUGGGGAGGGAAGAAUGAGUUCGGGCUAACAUCCCGAGCGAUGACGGUACCUCCUUAGCAAGCACCGGCUAACUCUGUGCCAGCAGCCGCGGUAAGACAGAGGGUGCGAACGUUGUUCGGAAUUACUGGGCGUAAAGCGCAUGUAGGCGGCCGCGCAGGUCGGGUGUGAAAGCCCUGGGCUCAACCCAGGAAGUGCACUCGGAACCGCGCGGCUCGAGUCCCGGAGAGGAAGGUGGAAUUCUUGGUGUAGAGGUGAAAUUCGUAGAUAUCAGGAGGAACACCGGCGGCGAAGCGGCCUUCUGGACGAGGACUGACGCUGAGAUGCGAAAGCGUGGGGAGGCAAACAGGAUUAGAUACCCUGGUAGUCCACGCCGUAAACGA